This 497-nucleotide ribosomal RNA is filed under the name uncultured bacterium. RNAcentral's name for it is "partial 16S ribosomal RNA". It matches the Rfam family "Bacterial small subunit ribosomal RNA", at positions 28 to 507 of the family's 1533-position model. The record is from RNAcentral.
GAUGAACGCUGGCGGCGUGCCUAAUACAUGCAAGUCGAGCGAACAGACGAGGAGCUUGCUCCUCUGACGUUAGCGGCGGACGGGUGAGUAACACGUGGAUAACCUACCUAUAAGACUGGGAUAACUUCGGGACACCGGAGCUAAUACCGGAUAAUAUAUUGAACCGCAUGGUUCAAUAGUGAAAGACGGUUUUGCUGUCACUUAUAGAUGGAUCCGCGCCGCAUUAGCUAGUUGGUAAGGUAACGGCUUACCAAGGCAACGAUGCGUAGCCGACCUGAGAGGGUGAUCAGCCACACUGGAACUGAGACACGGUCCAGACUCCUACGGGAGGCAGCAGUAGGGAAUCUUCCGCAAUGGGCGAAAGCCUGACGGAGCAACGCCGCGUGAGUGAUGAAGGUCUUCGGAUCGUAAAACUCUGUUAUUAGGAAAGAACAAAUGUGUAAGUAACUAUGCACGUCUUGACGGUACCUAAUCAGAAAGCCACGGCUAACUACGUG